Non-coding RNA from Plasmodium blacklocki (nom. inval.), 930 nucleotides. The record is from the annotation of a GenBank genome assembly. Lineage: Eukaryota; Apicomplexa; Aconoidasida; Haemosporida; Plasmodiidae.
UUAUAUAUUAUAUAUAUAUACUCGUGUUUUAUUUACGAUUCAUAUUAUAUAAUUGAAUUUUUUUCUUUUCUUAGUAUAAUUUUUUUUUCCCCUUCACAUUAUAUAAAUAUAUUUAUAUAUAUAUAUAUAUAUAUAUUAUAUAUAAUUUUUAUAUUUAUAAGAUUAAACAAGAGAACCAUAAAUGCUAUAUUAUAAAAUAAAUUAAUAUAUAUAUAUAUAUAUAUAUAUAUAUGUAUAUAUUUAUAUUUAUACCUUUAAGGUUUAAUUUUUUACAAUCCGCCAUUUUCUUGUUUAUAAAAGAAAAAUGUAUAACCCAAAUUUUCUUUCUUUUUGAUAUAUAAUUAUAUUUAUAUGUAUAGAUAUAUAUUUAUAUUUAUUUAUUUUAUAAUUUAUAUUAUAUUAUUUGUUUUUUUGGUUUUUUUUUUUUUUUUUUCUUUUCUCUUCUUUUCUCUCUUUUUUUUUUUUUUUUCUUAUUUUCUUUAUUUGUUUUCGUUUUUGUACAACCAUAUAAUAAAAUAGUUGUAUAAUUCAACUAGAUUAUAUUUUUUUUUUUUUUUUUUUUUUUUUUUUUGUAAAAUGUAUAUAUUAUUAAUAUAUAUUAUUUCUAUGUGUAUAUAAUAUAUUAUUUCUUAUUAUGGUUAAUUUAUAUAUGUCACAAUCUACCUUAUUGUAGUAUGUAAAAAGAAAAAAAAAAAAAAAAUAAUAAAGAGAAUGAAAAGAGACUAAAUAAAAAUGUAUAAAUAAAUAAAUAUAUAUAUAUAUAUAUAUAUAUAUAUAUGUAAACAUAUAAUAUAAUGUGUUCUGCUAUGACAUAAUAGUAUAAUUUUUUUUUUUUUUUUUUCAUGGUUACAAUUGAAAAAAAAAAAGCGAAUUUAUUAUUUUUUAAGUAUCAAUUCGUAUAUCUCUGUAAAAGGUAGUCCUACACCUAAA